GAUGAACGCUAGCGACAGGCCUAACACAUGCAAGUCGAGGGGUAACAUGGAUUGCUUGCAAUCUGAUGACGACCGGCGCACGGGUGCGUAACGCGUAUGAAACCUACCUUUUACAGGGGAAUAGCCCAGAGAAAUUUGGAUUAAUGCCCCAUGGUCUUAGAUUUUCGCAUGGGGAUCUAAGUAAAACUCCGGUGGUAAAAGAUGGUCAUGCGUGACAUUAGAUAGUUGGUGAGGUAACGGCUCACCAAGUCGACGAUGUCUAGGGGUUCUGAGAGGAAGGUCCCCCACACUGGUACUGAGACACGGACCAG
RNAcentral lists this ribosomal RNA (311 nucleotides) under uncultured bacterium. RNAcentral describes it as "bacterial SSU rRNA". It matches the Rfam family "Bacterial small subunit ribosomal RNA", at positions 28 to 334 of the family's 1533-position model. The record is from RNAcentral.